This 72-nucleotide transfer RNA is filed under the name Camelus bactrianus (Bactrian camel). It matches the Rfam family "tRNA". From Rfam's summary of the family: Transfer RNA (tRNA) molecules are approximately 80 nucleotides in length. Their secondary structure includes four short double-helical elements and three loops (D, anti-codon, and T loops). The record is from Rfam by way of RNAcentral. Lineage: Eukaryota; Metazoa; Chordata; Mammalia; Artiodactyla; Camelidae. RNAcentral also lists the same sequence under 1 other name.
GAGUGUAUAGCUCAGUGGUAGAGUGUGUGCUUAGCAUGCAUGAGUUUCUGGGUUCAAUCCCCAGUAUCUCCG